CCUACGGGAGGCAGCAGUGAGGAAUAUUGGUCAAUGGCCGUAAGGCUGAACCAGCCAAGUCGCGUGAAGGAAGAAGGAUCUAUGGUUUGUAAACUUCUUUUAUAGGGGAAUAAAGGUAUCCACGUGUGGAUAUUUGCAUGUACCCUAUGAAUAAGCAUCGGCUAACUCCGUGCCAGCAGCCGCGGUAAUACGGAGGAUGCGAGCGUUAUCCGGAUUUAUUGGGUGUAAAGGGUGCGUAGGUUGUUUUUUAAGUCAGCGGUGAAAGUUUGUGGCUCAACCAUAAAAUUGCCGUUGAAACUGGAAGACGUGAGUGUGUUUGAGGUAGGCGGAAUGCGUGGUGUAGCGGUGAAAUGCAUAGAUAUCACGCAGAACUCCGAUUGCGAAGGCAGCUUACUAAGCCAUAACUGACACUGAAGCACGAAAGCGUGGGGAUCAAACAGGAUUAGAUACCCUUGUAGUC
This 460-nucleotide ribosomal RNA is filed under the name uncultured bacterium. RNAcentral describes it as "partial 16S ribosomal RNA". It matches the Rfam family "Bacterial small subunit ribosomal RNA", at positions 338 to 795 of the family's 1533-position model. The record is from RNAcentral.